GAUGAACGCUGGCGGCGUGCCUAAUACAUGCAAGUCGAGCGAACAGACGAGGAGCUUGCUCCUCUGACGUUAGCGGCGGACGGGUGAGUAACACGUGGAUAACCUACCUAUAAGACUGGGAUAACUUCGGGAAACCGGAGCUAAUACCGGAUAAUAUAUUGAACCGCAUGGUUCAAUAGUGAAAGACGGUUUUGCUGUCACUUAUAGAUGGAUCCGCGCCGCAUUAGCUAGUUGGUAAGGUAACGGCUUACCAAGGCAACGAUGCGUAGCCGACCUGAGAGGGUGAUCGGCCACACUGGAACUGAGACACGGUCCAGACUCCUACGGGAGGCAGCAGUAGGAAAUCUUCCGCAAUGGGCGAAAGCCUGACGGAGCAACGCCGCGUGGGUGAUGAAGGUCUUCGGAUCGUAAAACUCUGUUAUUAGGGAAGAACAAAUGUGUAAGUAACUAUGCACGUCUUGACGGUACCUAAUCAGAAAGCCACGGCUAACUACGUG
RNAcentral lists this ribosomal RNA (497 nucleotides) under uncultured bacterium. RNAcentral's name for it is "partial 16S ribosomal RNA". It matches the Rfam family "Bacterial small subunit ribosomal RNA", at positions 28 to 507 of the family's 1533-position model. The record is from RNAcentral.